This 4741-nucleotide long non-coding RNA is filed under the name Sus scrofa (pig). Its description in RNAcentral is "lncRNA (ENSSSCG00005018753.1)". The record is from RNAcentral. Lineage: Eukaryota; Metazoa; Chordata; Mammalia; Artiodactyla; Suidae.
GGCUAGGGCUCAAAUCGGAGGCUCCUCGCAGCAGGGUCCCUGCUGUGGGACCCGCGCGGCAGGCGGCACGUCUGAUACUAGGUACUACCCCACGCACCAGACCACUGGUGUUCACUGGCUUGUUUCUUUGAAGUCCCGAGUGUCCAGGGACACCUCAGAUUCUAGCCCAGCAGCCCGGGGGGAUUUUAGCCAUCCCCUCGUCCCGAUUUUCAGCUUUUCUCCCACAGUGAAAACCCUGGCUCUUCCCCUCUGGAACCGGCUCGUUAGUUUCAGGGCUCGUUUCCCAUCCUCGGGUAAAGCCCUCUCCGAAUCGCUGACCCCCCAGCCCACGCGGAAGACGUCGGGAUGAUUCUGGGGCAUCCAGGCCCAGUUCCUCCCGCCUCCCGACGCCCUGCGGCAGGGACCCGGGCAGCCCUCGGGUGCAGUGGGGUGGGCGCUGGCGACAGACCUCGAUUCACGCGUCGGUGUUUAGACUUCCUGUUGGUUUCCCGCGCAUCCUGAGGUGGUUGCAACUGUUUACGUUUUGGAAAUGGGAAGAGUGAGAGAGAGACACUUUUCACGUUAAACACACACACACACGCACACACAUGGUCAUGCUGCUAUCUGCAACUCAGAUUUAAGAGGGUGCAGGGUUUUAAUGUCAAUUCCUCUCGCUGAAACAGAAGCUUGGGGAUUAUGGAAAUUUCAACCCCCUACGAAGAAAGCAGAAUAUGGAGUCGUGAGCCCACAACACCCAGCCAUUCCAGCUUCAUUCUCACCUCCUCUUACACCCCCUGAAAGGCCCAAAGGGAAGGGUCCAGUUCGGAAAACGGGUGCACCUGGCAAGCCUGUGCCAACAGGAGAGUUCUCCCUUGAUCUCGUCUUUCCCGGACCCAGUCCUGCGACAAACGGCAGGCGCUGCAGCACGUCGUGCUCUCGAUGUCACGGGAAGCAGAAGCCCCCGGGAGGGUUCUGAGCCGUACAGGGUCUGGGGUGGGCCAAGGUGACCGUGCCACCCCAGGCAUGGUCCCCCCCGACCCCCGGCCCCGAGGAGGGUCUAAGGAGACCGCCCCUCCGCGCAGCCCCUCCCUGCCCCGGGCUCCUCCCUGAUCAGCAGCUGCCCCGCCAGCCCAGAGCCUGGUUCAACGGGGACUUCGCGGAUCUUCGUGACGAUGGGGCAGAGAAGAAAAUGACGAGUUGAGACCAAACCCUUUACAGCUGAAAACUAAAUUCACUCCUGGCAAAGGAGGCAAAGCCACCGGCCCCAGACCAAGCGCAGAAUCUUCACUAUUCAGGCUAAGAGGAUACGGGCCCUAGCGAAGCCGCCACCCCGGUCGCACCUGCUUCUCCCUCUGUCCCCUCCCAUCGGCGUCACUUUAGGGGGAACGUCUCCAAACGACCCCGUGUAAGAGUCACAAUAUAACAAAUACCAGGAAUUAAACCCUGUGAUGCAAUGCAAGUGUGAAAGAGUCCCUUUUAUCCCGACGGAAACAUCUAAUGACACUUGAAUAACCAGGAGAUUAUCACUUUUCUAUCAAAACACACAGACAACACAUGGUACUAAGAUCUCAAAAAUUACAAGCGCUUGAGUUUGCAAAGAACGUCUGAAAUGGUCAUCAGCGCAUCUCUAACAACGUACAGACUCUUCUGAUGAAUAUUAGACAAUGUUCAAUGUGUCACCACGGGCAACACAACUGCUUUUCUGAUUACGCUCUUUCCUGAUUUAUGACAUGAGUUACAAGCCCACACUGGGAGGGGGAGCAGCAGCGAGCACUCCGUAAUUCUGACUUACAAGCACUUUGGGGAAGCUGGGCACGGCCACUCCACUAAUUAAGCAGCCUCUGAUACGAAGCAGAGAUUCACACAAAGACAGCUCUUUAUUCUUAUUUCUGCUCCAUACAGAAUAAACGGAACUAAAGCAUCACUACCGCCCGAGCGCGUGCUCAUAUUUCCUUCACCCAGCAUUCCGAAUCCAGAAUCGCCUGCAGUUCUUCCCGCUGCAGCUGCCCUUGGAAAUUUCAGGCGACCUAGUUUUGCAGAAUAAGCCACAAACCUUCCAAAGAGUAAAAGUCUUAGAAACUACAAAUCCCUAAGAGAACAGUCUUUUAAAAAAAUCUUAUUAAGUGACCACAAAGCAGCGUGGCCAUGCAGAGGACGUGUUUUCUCACUCCCCACCACCCUCUGCUCCCGUCAUAUGAACAAAGAAGGACCAGAGCUCAAGGGCCGCACUCGUCCCCACCGCGGCCUCGGCCUGGAAGGCCAGCUGGGGAGCAGCAAGCUGUCUGUGGGACCAAAAAGAGAGCCGGGGCCACACAGCCUGCAGCACCCAAAGCAGGACAAAGGACACGAGUUGUCAGCUGAAGGUGACAGAGAGCCACUCCCAGCACCGGGAAUAAGGUCAGGAUACCCCCGUGACCACUCCCAUUCAGUACCACACUGGAGAUGCUCGCCACGGUGACAAGGCAAGAAAAAGAAAUGGAAGGCACAAGGAUGAGAGAGGAAAAAGAUCCCGAACUGUCCACGGAGAAGCUACUGAUGGCUGUCAAAAUUCCUCAAUGAACUUCUCAAGAUCAGUGGUACAAGGUCAACACACAAAAACCCACUGCCUUUCUGCACACCAGCAAACAGAAACAAGCUUCGAAAGAAGCUGCCGUUUACAGUAACACCCAACACUGGCAGAUACCCAGGGCUAAAUCUACCAAAAGAGAACUUUGCGCAUUAAACUAUGGAACGUCAUAAGGAAAGGUAAAGAUGGAAACGAAGGGAGGAAUGAGUCACACACGUGGGCUGGAAAACCCAAUACGGCUAAGACGUCGAUGUGCCCCAAUUAACUGGUCAUCGGUGCAACUCAAACAAAAUCCCAGCAGAAUGUUUCUGUAAGUUUACAAAACAAGUUAAUGUCAAAUUUUAUGUGGAAGAACAAAGGUCCUGGAAGAGCCAUCUUGAGGGAAAGCAGACCUGGAGAACUUACAUCACUAAAUGUCAAGAUUUAUUAUAAACUUGUGUAAUUAAGACACUGUGUACAAAUAAACAAAUAAAACAAGGCACAGAAUAUUCUAGAGUGAGACCAUCACAAACACGGUGACAUGACUAUAACAAAGGCACCCGAAUCCACAGGGAAGAGGCUGGAUCUUUUCGAUGAGCAGUGCUUGAACCAACUGCUAUCUUUAUGGAAACUGAACUGAACCAUGAUCUGGGCCGCAUACCAUCAAGAGACCUAGUCUGGGUGGAUCACAGAUCUAAGUGCUAAAGGUAAGAUGAGAAAGUCUCGCCUAAACGACAACAAGGAAAGGGUCAGCGGGUAGACCAAGAUUUCCUAAACACAUGUGAAUGGCUUCCCACUGUGGCACAACAGGACGGAUGGUGUCUUGGGAGCGCAGGGACACAGGUUCGAUCCCCAGCCCAGAACAAUGCGAUGAGGAUCCGUUGUUGCCGCAGCUUUGGCUGAGGUGCAACUGCAGCUUGGAUCUGAUCCCUGGCCCAGGAACUCCAUACGCCAUGGAGCAGCCAAAAAAAAGGAAAAAAAAUUAAAAAUUACAAAAAAAACCCAAACACGUUAUGGUACUGACCACAGAGAAAAGAAAAUGACACAUAUGGCAUAAAAGCGAGAACUCCCGGGGUUCCCAUCAUGGCUCAGCGGUUAAUGAACCCGACUAACAUCCAUGAGGAUACGGGUUUGAUCCCUGGUCUCGCCUAGUGGGUUAAGGAUCCGGCAUUGCCAUGAGCUGUGGUGUAGGUCACAGCCAAGGCUUGGAUCCUGUGUGGCUGUGGCUGUGGUGUAGGCCAGCGGCUGCAGCUCCGAUUCGACCCCUAGCCUGGGAAGCCUCCCUUUGCCACGGGUGUGGCCCUAAAAAGACAGAAAGACCAAAAAAAAAGAAUAAGAGAAGAUCGAAUGCCCGGUGCAUUCAGCCCAGAACCCGGAUCCAAAGUAAGUAAUUCUCACACGUCGUCCAGAAAAAGGCAGACAACCCAAAGGAACAGCGGGCAAACGCUGCGAACAGGUCCUUUCACAAAAGAGGACUCCAAAUGGUCAACCACCCGGGGAGGCGCUGCGCCUCGGGAAUAACAGGGAAAUGCAAAUUAAAGCCACCACAACGGGGUCCCGCCAAAAGCGCACCUUUAAAAGCAACUCGACGGCCGCACGUCGAGGUCUCCAUCUGGAGCGUGCGGGGCACGUGCUGCCCGCAAAGCCACGCCAGGCGCACGCCGGCAGGGGCACUCCCUGCUCCUCAGAGCCACUCACCCGGUGACACAGCAGCCUGGUCUGCGGUCACCGAAAACUGGAAACCUCCCACGUGUCCACGGGCAGUGAAAGGUCAGGAAGCUGAGAUCACGGUACCGUCACGCCGGCCAUCACUGUCCGCAACGAGGGUAAGGGAGCCGAGCAUCGCUGUGGCCCAAGGCGAGCUCACACGUCCUUCAGUAAACCGUCUGAGCCUAGAAUGACCCAGGCACCCAAAAGCAGCAGCACAGAUGAACGACCCCGUGGGGCCAGAGCAGACAGACACCCAGGCCAUACAGACCCAGCGACUCCACGCGUAUGCAAUCCCAAGGCCCAAGAAAGGCACCCGUGCUAUUGCAAGCGGAGAAGGGCGCCCCGGGGCAUCGAAGGAGGAACCAGGGGGUGGACGGCAAUGUUCUGUUUCCUGAAAAAUCAGUGAAAAGGUGGAGACUCACCCACCUGAACGCUCCUGGCUGGAAACAGAGCAUCAACCACUCAAAAAAAGCAUCCUGCAUCAAAGGAAGAGUCAAAAUAACGCCU